UUUCCUCCUUCCUCAAUGUUUCCUCCUCACACAUCAGAGCUUCUAGGUCAGUGCUGUCACCACAGGCAGAUCAGUUGAAGAAGAUAAGACUUUGCCCAUGUUUUCCUACUGGGCUCUUAUGGCCUUCCUGGCUCCUACAGGCUGGUCUCUUCAGCAAACCCCAGACUCAGUUGUCCGACUGGGAGACUCUCUGACUCUGAACUGUUCGCACAAGGAGAGUGGAGUCUGGACCAUGUUCUGGUACAAGCUGCCAGUGGGGAAGAACGCCACUUUGAAGCUGGUUGUACGUUCAGUGGAGGGAACCAAGGCAGAUUUUGAGGAGGAAUUCAAAAGCCGCUUCCAGAGUAGUGGGACUAAGGCGAACUCCUUAUCGGUGACGAUAGAUCAUGUCCUACUCAAUGACUCGGGCACUUAUUUCUGCGCUAAGCAAGAUACACUUGUGACUAAUGAAAGAUUGUUCUUUGGUACUGGGACAAAACUCACAGUACUAGGGAAGAAGAGUGAAAUCAUACCACCGACUGUGGCCAUCUUUUCACCGUCAAAGCAGGAGAUUCAACAGAAGAAUAAGGCCACUCUGGUAUGCCUGGCUUCCGGUUUCUACCCUGAUCACCUCAGUUUAGUCUGGAAGGUGAAUGGCAACAAGAGGACAGAAGGAGUGGGAACAGAUGAGAUUUCCACAUCAAAUGGGAGCACUUACACAUUGACCAGCAGACUGAGAAUCUCAGCCCAAGAGUGGUUCAACCCUUUGAACCGUUUUGAGUGUAUUGCUGAAUUUUUUCAAGAUGGACAGAAAUCAAUACGUAAAUUAAUCCACGGUGAUACUGGAUGUAUGCUUACUAAAGAGUCCUACUUGCAUUAUGGAAAUUCUAUGAAGCUCACUUACCUCAUUCUGUGUGGCAAAGCCUUCCUCUAUGCAAUUUUGGUGUGCGCUCUGAUGUGGAAAGUCAAGGCUGGUAGCAAGCCAUAUAAAGAAUAAAUGAAUAAUCUCCUCCAUCACAUCAACAGGAAAACAACAAAUUCCACGUUUUUCUUUUCUGCAGUAGAGUCCAAGCUUCUAAUGUCUUCUUUCUUGAUGGUCCUCUGUUCUCUCCUGUUCUUUCAGCUUUGUUUUAAUCACUGCCAGAUUUCCCAUGGACAUGCAGGGUAAUUUCUGUCCUAGCUUUAAAACACCUCUUUACUGCUCAGAGGUGUCAGUUUCUUAAAUUAGGAAUAAAGUUUGUGUCACUCCA
Non-coding RNA from Tympanuchus pallidicinctus (lesser prairie-chicken), 1229 nucleotides. NCBI's taxonomy places the organism in Eukaryota, Metazoa, Chordata, Aves, Galliformes, Phasianidae. The record is from the annotation of a RefSeq genome assembly.